GAGGGGCUGCUCCUAGUACGAGAGGACCGGAGUGGACGAACCUCUGGUGUUCCGGUUGUCACGCCAGUGGCAUUGCCGGGUAGCUAUGUUCGGAAAAGAUAACCGCUGAAAGCAUCUAAGCGGGAAACUUGCCUCAAGAUGAGAUCUCACUGGAACCUUGAGCCCCCUGAAGGGCCGUCGAAGACUACGACGUUGAUAGGCAGGGUGUGUAAGCGCUGUGAGGCGUUGAGCUAACCUGUACUAAUUGCCCGUGAGGCUUGACCAU
Molecule: ribosomal RNA, 265 nt
Filed under: Pseudomonas sp. NFACC16-2
Lineage: Bacteria; Pseudomonadati; Pseudomonadota; Gammaproteobacteria; Pseudomonadales; Pseudomonadaceae
Description: 23S rRNA. Bacterial LSU
Rfam family: Bacterial large subunit ribosomal RNA
Source: RNAcentral